GGCGGACGGGUGAGUAACGCGUGGGAAUCUACCCAGUAGUGGGGGACAACUACCGGAAACGGUAGCUAAUACCGCAUACGUCCUAUGGGGGAAAGGCUUCGGCCGCUAUUGGAUGAGCCCGCGUCAGAUUAGCUAGUUGGUAGGGUAAAGGCCUACCAAGGCAACGAUCUGUAGCUGGUCUGAGAGGACGAACAGCCACACUGGGACUGAGACACGGCCCAGACUCCUACGGGAGGCAGCAGUGGGGAAUAUUGGACAAUGGGCGAAAGCCUGAUCCAGCAAUGCCGCGUGUGUGAAGAAGGCCUGCGGGUUGUAAAGCACUUCCAGUUGGGAAGAUGAUGACGUUACCAACAGAAGAAGCACCGGCUAAAUCCGUGCCAGCAGCCGCGGUAAUACGGAUGGUGCGAGCGUUAAUCGGAAUUACUGGGCGUAAAGCGCGC
This 440-nucleotide ribosomal RNA is filed under the name uncultured Gammaproteobacteria bacterium. Its description in RNAcentral is "bacterial SSU rRNA". It matches the Rfam family "Bacterial small subunit ribosomal RNA", at positions 97 to 570 of the family's 1533-position model. The record is from RNAcentral. Lineage: Bacteria; Pseudomonadati; Pseudomonadota; Gammaproteobacteria.